This is a long non-coding RNA of Megalobrama amblycephala (Wuchang bream), 2622 nucleotides long. RefSeq lists it as uncharacterized. Lineage: Eukaryota; Metazoa; Chordata; Actinopteri; Cypriniformes; Xenocyprididae. The transcript has 2 exons. The record is from RefSeq and is a predicted model, not a curated record.
CGAGAAAGAACGGGAACUGUCCGCAGCCAUAACAAUGCCCUCAAUGGUGCGAAACUUCUCACCGUGCAUUAGGACAGUGUAUUCUGAGGUUGUGGGCUCAGCCCCUGAGAAAGCAAAAGGGAGUGAGAUGAAGGAGACUGUAAAGCUGCUGUGAAGUGUCAUCGAGACCCAGAAGAUAAUUGAUCAUGGAAGACUUGCCAACGCUCCAAGGGCCAAGAAACAGGACCAUGGGCUUAGAGUUGAUCUCUGCAUCUGAACAGUGUGAGGAAAGCAGACAGUUUAACUGAGGAUAGGGCUUCAUUUUGACACUUUUUUUUAUGGUAGUAAAGGAAUGAUGUUGUAAAACAUUCAUUUACCUGACACUUCAUGCUGUCUGAGCUCAUUGUAUCUGUAGGCCUUCUCCAAGGGAUUAAUUGCAGAGUUGUAGACAUGCUGCAGCUUCUUCAGAGCAUCUAUGAGAAGUAGAGUUGAUUGAAUGAUGACAGGAAGGUAUAUAGAAAGAAAUAAUAAUAAUAGCAGAAUGAGCUUGUUUAUAAUUUUUUUAUCAUUUUGGGGAUUGAUUUUAGUUAUAGACAUUGCUACAUAAAUUAUAUAAACAGUCCAAUGAAGAUAUUAAAUGAGUUAAAUGAAUAAAUAUGAUAUUAAAUUAAUUAUUGUUGUUACCACAUUGUGGUAAGUUCAAUACAUUCUUGAAACCGUAAUAAGGAAGAUAUUGUUGAGCAAACAAAAUUGUUUUGGUCAAGUUAAAAUGUGAUUGGUUAAUGUAGAAAUAACUGGCCUGAUAUAUACUGUACAGCCCAGGAAGUAAUACUUUUUUACAUAAUAUUUUCAUAUGACUCACCGACAAAUUCCCGCGAAGGUUCAGCUGUUGCCAGACGCAGCGUCUCUUCAAUGUGAGACCGAUCUCUUGCAGCACGACCUGAGGGUUUUUUUUUCUCCACUGCCAGAGGAAAAAUAUAGCCAUCAUAAAACCUGAAUCUCAUAUCAUCAUAACAUUUUAUUUAAUGUGGAUGGCUCCCACAAAACAAGGUUAUUAUUGGAUUGCAUUUUAAAUUUUUUCUAAAUGCUAUUUUCAAAAUACAUUCACUUUUUUAUUUUAGGGACUAUUUUGUAUUUUCAUUUCAGUGGCAUUCUUUGUAGUUAAGGAAUCAGUUGUGGAAUCAACAGAUUAUUGCCACAGUUUAAAUUUACAUCUGAAGUAAACAAGAUCUCUGAGGAAAGAAGCUGCAUCUGUAUUUACACUAGAAUCACAAUCAAAGGAAACAAUGUAUCAGCUCAAUGAGUUGCUUGUUGAUUUACGUGCACAGCUAAAAGCUAAAAAAAAGGCCAGUUUAGACCAUGGUUAGUGAUAUACUAGUCAUAGUGAUUUAUUUAUUUUCAUAUUACUUGACAAUAAUAACAUGGCUCCAAAACAGAAUACAACUGUCAUUUUGGGUCCAUCUACUGCAGCCUCUACAUCAGCUCUAUUUGGAGCCAUUUAAACACAAUCAUUGGACUAUUAAAAGCAUCUGAAACAUUUCUUCCCCAUUACAAAACUGUCCCUGCAGGCCAGAGAACAUAUUGUUAUGAUUGGCAAUGGACAUGUGCCAAGGGUUAUUUCUGUUAGGUUAUUUUGGUGGUGAGUUUAUUCUUGUGCCACCUUUGACCAAAGUAUCAGGUGGAGAAGCACAAGGAACUGACUUUUACAAUAGUGCCCCCUAACGGCGGGACAACAACAUAGCUCAUUCUUGGGUUAUUUCCACUAUAAUGGGGUUUAACCCAGGGGUAGGCAAGUUCGGUACUAGAGAGCCGCUGUCCUGCUGAGUUUAGCUCCAACCUUAAUCAAACACACCUGAACAAGCAAAUUAAGCUCUUCAGGAUUACUAAGGCUAUAGGCAGCUGAAGGUUUUUUUUUUUUCAGGGUUGGAGCUAAACUCUGCAGGACAUCGGCUCUCUAGGACCGAACUUGCCUACCCCUGGUUUAACCAGACACUUUGUGAUGAUUCUGAAGCUCUUUAUUAUUCGAUUUUAAAUUAGAGUAAAGGUAGCAUUAGUAAGAAUUCUGUGAAAUUUUGCAAAAGUGGUCCACUGUAUAUUGUCAAAGUAUUUUCUAAAAUUUGUUGAUUAGUUUCGUCAAACAGCGGCAGAGGUGCAGUCACAUUUACUGUUGUUCAGUGAAUUUUUUAAUGGGCAAAAUCCAGUAAUUUCUACAAGGAUCCAUGCAAUUGUGAAUUAGCAUGAGGGCAAAAGGUUUCAACACAAAGUUUUUGCAACAGGUUCAAGUUGGUCAUGUAGAUUUGCUUCAUUGACCAACACAAAUCUGCUGUUUUUUCUAAAUUUUAGAAAGCUGAUUCCAAUUCAUCAAUUAGACAUUCUCUUAUUAUUUCAUAUUAACAUUAAAUGUUCAAUAUUAUUAACACUGACUGAAUUAAAGUGUACCUUUGGCAGAUGCCUUGGGUGCUGGUAUAUCAUCUGACACUUCUUCCACCGUUACUUCUUCAGCAGGUGCAGGAAUUUCUUCUUGGAUAAUAAUUUGUUCCGGAGUUGGUUCCACAAGCUCCUCGGUUACCUCGUGGGCCAAUUCAACAACCUCCUCAACAUCAUCAUCUCCUGCUAGUUCCUCAGCCUCUUCUGUUUCCACCA